UGAUCCGUCUGAUAAGGGUCGGACUUCCCAGCCUCCCUGAACGCAACCUAAUUUUCCCACUCUGAUUGGUAAUACGCUUCACCUGUUUGAUGCCCUUUAAAUACCUGCCUGUGACAGCGUUUCUUCGCCAGAUCGUCUUGGUUCUACCCUGCACGUUUCCAGCCGUUGUUCUACCUGUCUGCCUGCCUACCUGCCUGUUGUUGACCUUGUUUUGGACCUGGAUUAUCGUCUCUGCCUGCCCCCUGACUGUUAUCCACCCACUCCAGUGGACUCCCCGUCCGGCUUCCCGGGUUCUGCCUGUACGAUCUCACCAAACUGCACUACAGCACCCGGUACGUGGAUUUGUAACAUCCUGCAUCAUUAUCACAGACUCCCUGCCUUCUAACACCUGUUCUCAUACCCCCCACAGAAGAGCUGACCGAACGAGACCGGAUAGAUCACCAGUGCACAUUUACAUUGUUCAAAUAAAUUCCUUUUUACCUUU
This is a long non-coding RNA of Melanotaenia boesemani (Boeseman's rainbowfish), 484 nucleotides long. RefSeq lists it as uncharacterized. Lineage: Eukaryota; Metazoa; Chordata; Actinopteri; Atheriniformes; Melanotaeniidae. The transcript is spliced from 2 exons. The record is from RefSeq and is a predicted model, not a curated record.